UUCUUCAGGGGAAUAUUACUUUCCUUUUUUUUCUUCAGGGGAAUAUUACUUUCCUUUUUUUCCUUCAUGGGAAUAUUACUUUCCUUUUUUUUCUUCAGGGGAAUAUUACUUUCCUUUUUUUUCUUCAGGUGAAUAUUACUUUCCUUUUUUUUCUUCAGGUGAAUAUUACUUUCCUUUUUUUCCUUCAGGUGAAUAUUACUUUCCUUUUUUUUCUUCAGGGGAAUAUUACUUUCCUUUUUUUCUUCAGGGGAAUAUGACUUUCCUUUUUUUUCUUCAGGUGAAUAUUACUUUCCUUUUUUUCUUCAGGUGAAUAUU
Molecule: long non-coding RNA, 315 nt
Organism: Eriocheir sinensis (Chinese mitten crab)
Lineage: Eukaryota; Metazoa; Arthropoda; Malacostraca; Decapoda; Varunidae
Exons: 3
Source: RefSeq, a predicted model, not a curated record